Long non-coding RNA from Venturia canescens, 1177 nucleotides. RefSeq lists it as uncharacterized. The record is from RefSeq and is a predicted model, not a curated record. Lineage: Eukaryota; Metazoa; Arthropoda; Insecta; Hymenoptera; Ichneumonidae. The transcript is spliced from 3 exons.
GUUUUAUGGAGGAUGGUCUCAGAUGGGCGUAGGUAAUACCGUGAAGUCCUGGAGAGCCGUUUUGACCGAUUCGUAGAUCGGUCUGUUACUCUCAUCGGCACAGUAACCAUCGGAAAAAGGUUCGAGACAUUGAUAGCCAGAAUAAUGGGUCGGAGAUGAAUAUUCUCUUUGCCAGCAAUCGUUGAUUUUCCAUAGAGGCGAUAUCGGAGCGCAGUCGCAUAACCUGGGAUUCGACACGAGCGUUCUCUCUCUGUAACUCGGUGAUUUCUGCUUCAAGGGUGUACAGAUCCUCGCCCUGACCGCCACAACCAGCAGGGCCGUUACCGCCGAUACUUCCCUGACCCGCACCCAACGGACCACCUUGUGCCGGACCACCACCGGCAUCCAUCCCUAAAUCGGGAGAGAGAGACAAGCCCCGUUUUAACGCUAGUCGCUCUGACCAUUAACUCAAUCGAAGCUCCAUCCCAUACUAUAUGGUGCUCACGAUAUUCUCACUUGUUGCAAACAAUCUACCAUUUUUCCCCCCUCCCUGACACGCUCAUUACGGGCAUUGAAAUCCACGUUAUUUCCAAUGAAAAAAAAAAAAAAAUAAAUAAAUAAAUAACAAAAAUCUACGGAUAGAAACAUCACCGUGUGCGGAUCGAAUCUAACGCCAUUGACUUGACUUUUUUUUUAUCUCUCACACAGAAAAAAUUAUCCAGAUGGAGAAAAGUUUACUAUUUUUCUUCCUUUUAACACGUCAGCGUUUUCUUCAAAUUAUAUUCCAAACAUAUAAAAAGUAGAUUCGCGGUGAGAAUCGAGUUCAUACUUUACAUCUACAAUUCUGAUUUUUUUUUCCAUUUUUUCAAUGUUGAGCAUAUUCGAAUCCAAUAUGUACUAUUUAACGUGUUAUUGAAUCGCAGUUAUUUGAUGCUCAGUCAAAUUUGAGUAAUGGAAGUUUUCAAUUCGCUUCAGGCGAAAGUCUUUUGUUUUUACAAUAUUGAAAGAAAAUCGAAAAACAGGCUGUAUAUGACAAAUAUCAUUUAAACCACGAUAUUCGAAAAAAUUAAGUUGAUAAUUCUUUAUAAAGGCCAUUGAUAUUCUAGAAGUAUUGUUUACGUAAUGUUCGAAUCGCAUGAAAGUUGAGUUCAACGAUAAUCUGGAGGACUGGAUUGCCCAUUCUUUCCUGUGUAUUAAU